UCGUAGCUGCACAAAGUCGUCCGACCUCUACAAAACAUCCACAUAAAGACCAAUAUAGAUCAGACUCCUUAGAAGUGCUAGCUUGCAUGGAUCUUUAAGACUAAUUUCUCCCUUCUUCAAGAACCUUGGAUGCUCCAAAGGAAGAAAAGAUCUAGAGAAUGAAGAGAAGAGAAGAGAGAGCUCUAGAGAAAAAUUAAAACCAGUAAGAAGAACAUAUGGGGUAUUUACUAUUGGUGGAUACCCCCCUUUAUAUAGAAAAGGGAUUAGGGUUUUGGUCAAAGGGAGGGCACCAAAAGAGUCCACGCCAAACACCAAUUUGGCAUCCCAAAAAUUUUCAAAAAUGAGAGUUGGC
This 352-nucleotide long non-coding RNA is filed under the name Elaeis guineensis (African oil palm). RNAcentral describes it as "long non-coding RNA (EGUI_LNC034114)". The record is from RNAcentral. Lineage: Eukaryota; Viridiplantae; Streptophyta; Magnoliopsida; Arecales; Arecaceae.